This 162-nucleotide unclassified non-coding RNA is filed under the name uncultured Ascomycota. RNAcentral's name for it is "sequence contains ITS1". The record is from RNAcentral. Lineage: Eukaryota; Fungi; Ascomycota.
AUGAGAACUUGCCCUUCGGGGUAGAUCUCCCACCCUAUGUUUACAUUACCUUCGUUGCUUUGGCAGGCCCGUCUUCGGACCACCGGCUUCGGCUGGUCAGCGCUUGCCAGAGGAUCUCAAACUCUAUAUUUUAUGUUGUCUGAGUAUUAUUUUAAUAAGUUA